GCGGGUGUGGCGGAAUUGGCAGACGCACUAGAUUUAGGAUCUAGCGCCUUCGGGCGUGGGGGGUUCAAGUCCCUUCACCCGCA
Molecule: transfer RNA, 83 nt
Filed under: Enterococcus gallinarum
Lineage: Bacteria; Bacillati; Bacillota; Bacilli; Lactobacillales; Enterococcaceae
Also listed under: 1 other name
Description: tRNA-Leu
Rfam family: tRNA
About the family: Transfer RNA (tRNA) molecules are approximately 80 nucleotides in length.
Source: RNAcentral